UCGUCUACAAGGUCGAGAUUACACAUGCGGACUUCUCUCAGUAGUGUGGAGACUGAUGGCAAUUGAUCAGAUGGUCAUAUAUGCUCGAUCGUUCGUGAAGACUUGCAAGUUGCAAGUAUUAAAAACGAUUGUUUCUUGACAUACUUCGUAUAAUUGAUUGAACAAAAUGAGUGGUGUGUGUCAAUUAGGUGGUAAGAAUCCCUAAGGUUGGCUUCCAUCGAUGCCAUGGUUUCCAAUACUUGCUGCGAGAUGGAAGUGAUUCUCGGUCCUCAGAAACUCAAUCCGUCAAGGUUUGACGAUAUAUACGAGUCAAAAGUACCGUACAGCUUCUCAGGUUUUGGGAUGGGAGGGAGGUGCCUGGGGAUGCUCAUGGCCAAAGGCCAUGAUAUUGGUCUUUCUCCACCGUCUCAUCAUUACGGACAAGGUCCACACCCCUACUUGUUGUAUAUUGGGUAGUUAGCUUAACACUAUUUAAAAUCACAAUUAGGAACAUAUUAAAUCAGCUUUGUUAUGGAUAGGAAUAUUCAUAAGACGAAGGCAUCGUUUCAUUUGUCUAUCUUUUCAUUCAAUUAGGAAAUUAUUUAAAAAUACUUUUAAAAUAACCCAAACCAAUUUUGAUGAAAAUAUCUUUAGAACUGCUCACGCGCUUUGGAAUUGGACACAAUAUAAAACCCUGUAUGGCGAAAACGACAAGUACACCAAAUUUGACCCUAGAAUUCAUGCCAGAGAAAUAUUGACUACAUAGUUAGAAUCUCUUAUCUGUCUUCCAUUUCGGGAUCAUUCAACUUAAAUAUAAUAGAAGGUAGCCUGAGCAAUUCCAAAUUAAUUAAGGUGCCAAAAAUACCAGCCAAGCUUCCCGGGAAAUGGCGCCAAACUCUAUCCAUUUUUUUCUAUACAAACAAUAAUAUAUACAAAAUUAAUUUAAACUAUAGAAAGAACAUCUAAA
Pyrus x bretschneideri (Chinese white pear) is the source of this 946-nucleotide long non-coding RNA. RefSeq lists it as uncharacterized. The transcript is spliced from 3 exons. NCBI's taxonomy places the organism in Eukaryota, Viridiplantae, Streptophyta, Magnoliopsida, Rosales, Rosaceae. The record is from RefSeq and is a predicted model, not a curated record.